UGCCCUGUGGUGUAACGGUAGCACAAGUGACUCUGGAUCACUUUGUCUUGGUUCGAAUCCAAGCGGGGCAGC
Molecule: transfer RNA, 72 nt
Filed under: Candidatus Omnitrophota bacterium
Lineage: Bacteria; Pseudomonadati; Candidatus Omnitrophota
Description: tRNA-Gln
Rfam family: tRNA
About the family: Transfer RNA (tRNA) molecules are approximately 80 nucleotides in length. Their secondary structure includes four short double-helical elements and three loops (D, anti-codon, and T loops).
Source: RNAcentral